AGUGAACGCUGGCGGCGCGCUUAACACAUGCAAGUCGAACGAGAACGGAUUAUAGCUUGCUAUAAUUGUCAGCUAAGUGGCGCACGGGUGAGUAAUGUAUAGGUAAUAUGCCUCUUACUAAGGGAUAACAAAUGGAAACGUUUGCUAAUACCUUAUACUCCUUAUUAACAGAAGUUAAUAAGGGAAAGAUUUAUUGGUAAGAGAUUAGCCUGUAUUGUAUCAGUUAGUUGGUGGGGUAAUGGCUUACCAAGACUAUGACACAUAACUGGUUUGAGAGGAUGAUCAGUCACACUGGAACUGAGUCACGGUCCAGACUCCUACGGGAGGCAGCAGUGGGGAAUAUUGCACAAUGGUCGAAAGUCUGAUGCAGCAACGCCGCGUGGAGGAUGACACAUUUCGGUGCGUAAACUCCUUUUAUAUGAGAAGAUAAUGACGGUAUUAUAUGAAUAAGCACCGGCUAACUCCGUGCCAGCAGCCGCCCGUAA
This 485-nucleotide ribosomal RNA is filed under the name uncultured bacterium. RNAcentral's name for it is "partial 16S ribosomal RNA". It matches the Rfam family "Bacterial small subunit ribosomal RNA", at positions 29 to 523 of the family's 1533-position model. The record is from RNAcentral.